RNAcentral lists this long non-coding RNA (950 nucleotides) under Helianthus annuus (common sunflower). Lineage: Eukaryota; Viridiplantae; Streptophyta; Magnoliopsida; Asterales; Asteraceae. The record is from RNAcentral.
AUGAUCGGUCUGGUACUGUUGGUACGGUUAUCGGUCGGAGAUAGAAGCGAGGAAGUGAGUAACAAACUCAUUCAUCUGAGAACCCACAGUUGGUACUAAAUAGAAGAUUUUAAUGUGUGAAAGAGGUUAUUAGAGCUUCAUGAAUAUUCUUGGCUUAUGGUGGAUCUUUAAUAAGAUCAUUCAAUUGGUGAACCUGAUAGCUAGACUAUGAUCCCAGCACAUGUUGAGGGGGAAUUGAAUUGUCAAAGAGCCAGGUUUUGAUCCUAAAAGUGAAGAUGCUGAUGAACUUAAAGAAUCAAGAGAUCUGAUCAAGAGACUGAGUAAAACGAAGAGUUCGAGAAAAAUGUUUGGAUGCCCGAAGACUGAUCAAGACUGAAGAUGUGAAGACUCGACACUUAAGACUCGUCAACAUCUGAGGGGGAGUCUGUUGGUGCAUACAUCUGUCGACUUCGUCUUGUAUCGAGUCUUAGUCUUAGAAUGUUAGAUCAGGGCACAUUGUACGAGAUUUCCCAAGAAAGUUGAUUUCCCAUAUAUGGACAUGUCACUAUGUGGGAAAUCAGAAAGUUGAUUUCACAUAUAUGGACAUGUCACUAUGUAGGAAUCAGCAUGUCACUAUGUGGGAAAUCAGCAUGUCACUAUGUGGGAAAUCAGGAUGUCACUAUGUGGGAAAUCAGGAGAUUUCAUUUGAUUUCGCUUUUAUGGACAUGUGUCCUAUGAGCGAAAUCCCAUGCCUAUAUAUAGGUCUCUUGGGCGAAAUCAGUUGUAUCAUUCUUGUUUCCGGUACCGAAUUGCUGCCGAAGUGCCGUUUGACUUGUAAACAGUGUGAAAUCAAUAUACAAGGCAAGAUUUAGUAGAACAAGCUGUUUUUCGUGUCCGUUUCUUGUUAUUCCGCACCUGAAACGGAUUAGAACACCUCCGAUUGACUCGUUCGGGUCAUCACGCGAUCCUAC